Felis catus (domestic cat) is the source of this 2576-nucleotide long non-coding RNA. RefSeq lists it as uncharacterized. Lineage: Eukaryota; Metazoa; Chordata; Mammalia; Carnivora; Felidae. The record is from RefSeq and is a predicted model, not a curated record. The transcript is spliced from 2 exons.
UUCCCACAUGUAGGCCCUGCCUAGUCCUGGCAGCUUACACACAGACAGUGGCCCCCGCUCCCUCCAGAGCUGCCUUCUGUGCAAGGUCAGGUGGCCUUGGACAUCCUGAGCCAGGGCUGCAGGCUCAGGGGGCUGCAUUCCUGGCAUCUCAAUAGGCUAUCUCUGCUUUCCAGAGGUGACAACCCAACAAAGCUCUGCCGAGGGCGCCCCCUGCUGCGGAGAGCACAAUAUUGCCUGGGGGACCUGGGAGGACAAACUUCCAACUGAGGGGCUAGACAUUUUCAGAUAAAAUUCCAGGCCCCUCUCUCCAAUCCAGGCCCAGCCUCCUGCUUGAUCAACUGAGACGGCGGAGGCCAAAGCAGGUUGAGCUCCCGGGGUCACGGCCAGGUCAGCUCCAGGCUCUGCUCAAAGCCGUCCCUGCUUGCUGAACGACACCCCAGAGUCCCUGGGCCUGCGUCCUUGCAACCUCCAGGACCUCACCACGCGUCCGCUGCCCCCCUCCUCCUCCAUCACAGAUGGGCCUGGUUUUCCUCCAGAAGGAUCUCCAGCGACCAGCGCAGAUGUUGGCGGAAUGAACAAAUUGCCCGGCAGUAUUUACUGAGCACCUACUGCAUGCCCGCACAGUCCCAGGCUGAGAAACAAAGUAACAAUGACAACCAAGGUGCCAGCCCUCCUGGAGGAACAGAUGCUCAUUACCAAACCACAGGAAAGUGGCUGCCCUCCCUCCCUUCAUCACACCCACCUCCACCCCACCCCUUUCCAGCACCAGCCUAUUCUUGUUCCAUAACCUUCCUGCUCUCCAAAGACCCCUGAAGACUAUCCUCCAGACUCACGCUGGGUGUGUUCUUAGUCCCCUGACUUCUGGAGUCCAGACCCCACCCUCCUGGCCACCGCGGGACCUCACAUCUCCAGGCCUUUGCUUGGGCUCAGGCUCUGCUGUCUGCCUGCCAUGUUGCUUCUAACUCAGAAAAUUUCAGUCUACCUUUGAGGCCUGGCUCAAUGCUUCCUCCUCAGGGCAGGCCUCCUCUUCCACUGUCCCUGGGAAGGAGUUACAGCCCAAUGCCCGUCCUCCUGGGGAUACUUCGUGCCUCCUUUGCUUGGCCCAGGGUGAGUUCUGACGGCUGCCUAGAAGCCCCCACACAUGCAGGAGCCUCUUCUGGAGCUGAGGAGCUGGAAGGCAGGGAUGGGCCCCCAUACUGACUGAUCACGUGAACCCCUGUUUGCUCGGGCAGGUGCCCAUUCUUAGCCCACCUUAUAGGUGAGACUUCACACCCUGGCAUCAUUCCUAAUAGGCCAGCUGCUUGACCUUGGAGGGCUUUGGCUUCCUCUUCUGGAAGGAGGGGUUGCUAGGAAGGCACCAUGCUCUGCACACAGUGAGCCAACUGUCCCAACGCAGGGGUGUCAGGCCCACGGCCUCCUGCGGUGCCACACCCCUGCACAGGCCCACGGGUGGCACCCCAACCACCUGCCUCUCUGGCUAGGUUUCGUCGUGGGAGGACGGACCUCCCUUGCCCUACACCUAUGGUGGAAGGGGGAAAGGAGAUGCAUGCCUACCCCCAGCCUCCCACAGCUCAGGAGCCCAGGGUGGCCCCAGGGCUGUGCAUCCUUGCUGCUCGGCCAGACAGCCACAGGCACUGGCUCCGACCGCAACACAGCACCCUCUUCCCAGUACUCCGAGGCUGCUCUCGUCCAGUAAGGGAAGUGGCUGCGCAGGUGGGACCAGGAGGUGCCAGGAGUCCAGACCAGGCAUCCUGAGUUUUUAGAAGAAACCAGAAAUCUGCACCAUUAUGUAAAUAUCCAGAUUUUAAAAUGUUAAUGACUGACUUACAUUGUUUCCAUUUUGAAAGACCUUGCCAAACCAAAUGUGGUCUAUCCAUGCAAUGGAAUAUUUUUCAGCCCUAAAGAGGAAUGAAAUACUGUCACACGCUACAACACGGAUGAACUCCGAGAGCAUUAUGCUGAGUGAAAGAAGGAAGCCAGCACAACGGGACAAAUAAUGAGUCCCCUUCCACCCAGUGUGUGGAUUAGACACAUGCAUAGAGACAGAAAACGUAUCAGGGCCUGGAGGAGGCGGGACAGGGAGCUGCUGCGUAAUGGAUAUAGUCUGGGGUGAGGAAAACUAUAUUUUGGAAAUAACGGUGCUGGUUGCACAACACUGUCAAUGUCCUUAAUGCCGCUGAAUUGUACGCUUAGAAAUGGUUAAAACGUAACAUAAGAUUUUUAUGUUAUACAUAUCUCACCACAAAAGUCCCCCCAAAACCAAAAGAACCCCAAAACCUUGAGCAGGCCAGCGGGCCCCAGUUCACAAGCUCUGUUCCCACCUCCUCCCGCCACAGGCCAAGGCCCUCCCACCUCCGCACCUCGCCCGGGGGGCAGGGAAAGCCAGCCACACACACAGCCCACCUCCGUCAUCCUGCCGGGGCCACCCUCAACCCGCGUGCCGACCACCCGCAGCGCCACCCGCUCACGGACUGCCUCCCACUUGGGUCCGUUUUUUGCCAACUGGAGAGGCCGUGGGUUUUAGGCAGAAUGCAGAGGGGCCGUGUCACCUUGAAGAUGCCACUUUACCUCCUUGA